GGCACUGUGCUGCGGCUUCACAGGCUGUCACUGCGCGGGGCCUUCUGCCCAUGCGGCCUGAGCCACCGAGGCAGGGCAUCGGGAGCAACGCGGGGCCGAGCUUUCAGCCUUCCCCAGUUGGCGUAGCCCCACCAGCUUCCCUGGAAGUCUAUUGAUUUACAGCAGCUGAAACCCUGGCCCCUGCUAUGCUUAAAAUCCGAGGCAGGCUUUCAUUGGACACAGAAGAAUACUCUUUGGGACGCUUUGAAACCUGUGCUGUGUGCUAGCGAGGAGCUAAGCGAUUCCCAAGAUUUUCAGUGAGACAUGUACAAACACACACCGCGCACCGAGCAGGCUCCCUCAGACACACAGACACCAAAUACACUCCCUGGGAUGUGCCAGGGUGAAGAAGAGUUUUCUAAGUCACUUCAUUUUCACUGGAAACUCUGCGCCAGUCCUCCCACAUACAGCGCGCUGUGUGCUCCUCGUAACCAGCAUUGUCUGAACUUGUGGUAUUUUAAUAAGUGUUCCUGCCAAGCCAAAGACGCUCUAAGACACAUCACCUUUGUCCAGAGGAGGAUCCCAGCCGAAUCGAAGUCCAGAGAGUGUGACCUCUGCUACAAAGCAACACAUAGGAACGUGGAAAGCUGCAUCCUGAGGUGCAAAGAGCCGGGCGGCUGGUUUCAGGAGUCACAGGGAUGCUGCUGUGAUGUCGGAGCCAAAAGAAGGAGAGAGAAACGAAGCUCUGACUACGUCUAAACAUAAACAGCCCGAGGCUGGCAAGCAGCUCACCUCCAGGUCUGGGAGAAGAGAGCAGAGGAGAGGACAACCCCCAGCGAGCAGCGUGGGUCCACCUAGGUUUUGCCCAGGUCAGACGGCAGCCCCUCCGCCUACCGCCCCGAUGUCAUCUCUCUUUCUGACAUCCCCAUAAAUAAGGCUGCGGAUGACCACACACGAGCCAAGCCCCGGAGCGCUGCCGGAGCUCUCCCGGCCCGCCGCUGCCGUCGGGGCUCCGGCUCCACUCCGGUUCCGCUCCGGUUCCGCGCCCCUCGCCCAUGUAGAGGCCCCGACGAGUGCGACAAAGCCAGGGCACUGCCCAAACCCAGCGCCGGAGAGCAGGCAGGGGGGUGAAACCCAAAAGCUGAAGGCUCUUUCUGGGUGGCAGCCCAAGGAGGCAGUGGGAAAAGUGAGCCCUCAGCCUCCCCAGCCCCGGCUGUUUUCCCCCCAACACACACACACACACACACACAAUCACAACCCUCACAAUGGUGACUUUUGUGCCUCCAGGAGAGAAAGCAGAGUCCUGCCGCUGUAAGGGACGUAACUUAACACACACCAGGCGUUGCGUCAGGUCGCAAUUAGGGAAUCGGAGGGGCUGUUGCAAAACGCAUCAGAUGCAAACCCGCGCCGGAUUAAUGCCCCCCACCCUUCCUCCCCUGCCCUGCGCUGAAACUUCUCGCCCUUACUGCGGAGUGCUCGGGAGGGCAGCCCCGCUGCUGUGAGCACCGUCCUGCCAAAACGGCAAAGGCAGCGAGGGGCCGGCUGCUGCGCCUCCGGGGCAGCGAGCGGGGAGCGGGUGGAAAGGGUUUCUGACUGCAGGUAACGCCGUGGGAAAACCGGAUGACCUGGGCUGCAUGGAAACGUGCUGAAGUGCCCCGUUUCUUUUUGCCUUUUUUUUUUUUUUUUUUUCCUUGCUUUUCAGCAAAGCGAGGAAGAGUUUUUGCAAACACAAAGUGUUGGGAUCGAUGUGCAGUCCAGUGCUCGCACAUUUAAUAAUUCUGCAGCGGUGGGAGGAAAGGGGAAAACGUGUAAUUAGGCAGGAGCAGGUGAAAGAUUCCAGACGAUGAAAUACAACAGGCUAAACGGGAUAAUGUAUUCACCAUUAAAGGACUGACAUUUAUUACCAAAAGGAGACCCGUUAUGUUUGAAUAUGAAAAGGAGCAGAUACGGGGCUGUAUAAAUUACCUCCUUCGCAUUACUUGCAUCUCGUUCAAAAAUAGAUACGUCUAUAUUGAAUAACCAGCGGGUUUGUGUUUGGGAGCAAAGGACGGACCUGUGGAAACACCACCUAGCAAACGAUGCACCUCUAACACGCUCCCCAGACGCACUCCCCAAAGCAAUCGAUCACAGUAAAAAGCGGGGAAAGGAGAGGGGGGAGAAAUCAGGGGAGCCAAAAGGGGCUUUUCACGUAUCGGUGGUGUCACAAGCUCAGGGUAGGCAAUUCGUCUCCCAGUCACACACAUACACACACGCGGGCACGUCUUUCCCGUACAAAUUCCACCCCUUAAAAUAGAUUUCAGCUCGUUGCCUUUAACUGAUCUAUUAUUAACGCUAAUGAAGCUGCAGAGGUACAGGCUGGGAGGUAAGGAAGAGGACCGGCUUGGAUUUCAGAUAGCCGAAGAACUGGUGAAACACGCCGCUGGGCAGACACGUCUAUCUACGAUUCGCCUCGUGUUUAAAGCUCAAAAAUAAAAUCUUCGCUGAGAGGCA
Molecule: long non-coding RNA, 2469 nt
Filed under: Anas platyrhynchos platyrhynchos (common mallard)
Lineage: Eukaryota; Metazoa; Chordata; Aves; Anseriformes; Anatidae
Description: lncRNA (ENSAPLG00000029011.1)
Source: RNAcentral